UACGUAGGGUGCAAGCGUUGUCCGGAAUUAUUGGGCGUAAAGAGCUCGUAGGCGGCUUGUCGCGUCGGCUGUGAAAACUCGGGGCUUAACCCCGAGCCUGCAGUGGAUACGGGCAGACUAGAGGUAGGUAGGGGAGAAUGGAAUUCCCGGUGUAGCGGUGAAAUGCGCAGAUAUCGGGAGGAACACCGGUGGCGAAGGCGGUUCUCUGGGCCUUACCUGACGCUGAGGAGCGAAAGCGUGGGGAGCAAACAGG
RNAcentral lists this ribosomal RNA (253 nucleotides) under uncultured bacterium. Its description in RNAcentral is "partial 16S ribosomal RNA". It matches the Rfam family "Bacterial small subunit ribosomal RNA", at positions 524 to 776 of the family's 1533-position model. The record is from RNAcentral.